CCUAAUCUAGGUGGUUUUUAUUGUAAUUGAUUAUUCCAAUGUGAAGAGCUAUGAAGCAGUCUAAGAGAAGGUAAUACUCCUGGAACAGCCCACUCACCACUAGGAUCCUUGUCGGACUUCGAGGGACCCUCCCCCAUCAAGUCUCAUGUCAAGUGUUCUGAUGGAAAAUCCUGCUUCCUCAGUGUUGCUUAGAAAUUACAACAAGCUUGAAUCUGAAGAAUCUGUCUCCAGAAACAUAAUUGGACCAUGCAAUGAAGAGAAAAAAGAGAAAAAGGAUGACAGAGGAAAUGGCAUGAUCUACAGAUCUUUGUUUACAAGAACA
Alligator sinensis (Chinese alligator) is the source of this 322-nucleotide long non-coding RNA. RefSeq lists it as uncharacterized. NCBI's taxonomy places the organism in Eukaryota, Metazoa, Chordata, Crocodylia, Alligatoridae. The record is from RefSeq and is a predicted model, not a curated record. The transcript has 3 exons.